Molecule: ribosomal RNA, 251 nt
Filed under: uncultured bacterium
Lineage: Bacteria
Description: partial 16S ribosomal RNA
Rfam family: Bacterial small subunit ribosomal RNA
Source: RNAcentral
UACGUAGGGUGCGAGCGUUAAUCGGAAUUACUGGGCGUAAAGUGUGCGCAGGCGGCCGAGCAAGUCGAGUGUGAAGCCCGAGCUUAACUUGGGAAUUGCGCUCGAAACUACUUGGCUGGAGUGUGGCAGAGGAAGGUGGAAUUCCAGGUGUAGCGGUGAAAUGCGUAGAUAUCGUGAGGAACACCAGAGGCGAAGGCGACUUACUGGACACAUAUUGACGCUGAGGUGCGAAAGCGUGGGGAGCAAACAGG